Molecule: long non-coding RNA, 288 nt
Organism: Heterocephalus glaber (naked mole-rat)
Lineage: Eukaryota; Metazoa; Chordata; Mammalia; Rodentia; Bathyergidae
Source: Ensembl
GCUCCUACAUUCGGCAAGUAUGAUUUGUCCCCUUUUAUAGAUCAGAAAAUCAACCAUGGACCAGAGACUGCAGUGGCCCAAGGACAGUGACGCAUCUGCAGAGUAUGACAGCGGACAAUGAAAAAGAUGCUAAGACCUUUCAUGUUUGAAGUUCCUCAGAUACAUUUUGGAAAUGAAGUCUGGGUGAAGGGAGCUGUGGGGGAGUGUCUUUACCGACCUAUUAGCAUUCUACCAGCAGAAAUAUUUGAUCCUGCCUGCUCCAAGGGCUCCAGUACUGUGACUGGUGUC